This 424-nucleotide ribosomal RNA is filed under the name Fusobacteriota bacterium. RNAcentral describes it as "Fusobacteria bacterium partial 16S ribosomal RNA". It matches the Rfam family "Bacterial small subunit ribosomal RNA", at positions 355 to 776 of the family's 1533-position model. The record is from RNAcentral. Lineage: Bacteria; Fusobacteriati; Fusobacteriota.
UGAGGAAUAUUGGUCAAUGGGCGAGAGCCUGAACCAGCCAAGUAGCGUGCAGGAUGACGGCCCUAUGGGUUGUAAACUGCUUUUAUGUGGGGAUACAGUGCGUGACGUGUCAUGCAUUGCAGGUACCACAUGAAUAAGGACCGGCUAAUUCCGUGCCAGCAGCCGCGGUAAUACGGAAGGUCCGGGCGUUAUCCGGAUUUAUUGGGUUUAAAGGGAGCGUAGGCUGUCUAUUAAGCGUGUUGUGAAAUUUACCGGCUCAACCGGUGGCUUGCAGCGCGAACUGGUCGACUUGAGUAUGCAGGAAGUAGGCGGAAUUCAUGGUGUAGCGGUGAAAUGCUUAGAUAUCAUGACGAACUCCGAUUGCGCAGGCAGCUUACUGUAGCAUAACUGACGCUGAUGCUCGAAAGUGCGGGUAUCAAACAGG